UGCCAGCAGUCGCGGUUAAACCAAGAAAUUAAGUCAUAUUUUACGGUAAAAAGAUAGUUAGAUAUUAAAAAUUAAAGAGUUUUUGAAUGAUUUAUGAAAAAGUAAAAUUUAAACAUAAAUUUUUAAACCAAUAAUAACUCAAAUAAAUUGAAUCUAUAAAAAUCUUGAGGGAAACUGGGAUUAGAUACCCCAUUAUUCUUGAUUAUAAAAAAAUAAAAUUUACCAGAGUACUACGAAUAAAAUAAAAUUUAAAACUCAAAGGGCUUGGCGGUGUCUUAGACCACUUAGGGGAACCUGUCUCAUAAUCGAUAAUCCACGUUAAACCUAACCUUUUUUUGCGUUCAGCUUGUAUACCGUUGUCGUCAGGUAACUUUUAAGAAAAUAUAAGUUAGCUAUAAAUUUUAAAUUAAAACGUCAGAUCAAGGUGCAGCCUAUAUAAAGGAGAGGAUGGGUUACAAUUAAUAUUCAUAAUUACGGAUAAUUCAUUUGUAACAAAUAAUUUGAAGGCGGACUUAAAAGUAAAUUGAACUAUAAAAAUAUUUUGAAUAAGGCUCUGAGAUGUGCACACAUCGCCCGCCACUCU
This 583-nucleotide ribosomal RNA is filed under the name Clavus unizonalis. RNAcentral's name for it is "partial 12S ribosomal RNA". The record is from RNAcentral. Lineage: Eukaryota; Metazoa; Mollusca; Gastropoda; Neogastropoda; Drilliidae.